GAAAUUUUUACAUAUAUUUGCUCGCCAGCUGAACACUAAACCAUUUUUAUAUUUCUGUAUAAAAGCCUUUUCCUAGGCUGCCAGUAAGAAAAAUUACGUACAAACAGUAGGAUACCAAUAUGUAGCAAUCAUACACAGGUUUUUCAGCGCAUAAGAGGCUAGAUCAAUUGAUUUUUGAACGUAGUAGAAAAUUGAAGUUCUCACUGGAACUGCAGCACAGAGGCCAAAAACUGUUGCAGCUGAAAUAAGUUAUCACACAAUUUACUCUCAAUAACAAUUAUGGGAACUCAUCUUUUCAGGUCAAAGGCGUGACAACAGUCCAUCAAAAUUUAAUGUGUUUGAAUUUGAGCUCAAACAUUUUUCUUCUGGCUCAGACAAAAUAGCUAGAUCGAAGGUUGUACUUCCAGCCAUCAUCAGCACGAGCCAGCAAGGUAUUUUAUUUGUUAUAGUUUCCACACUGAUUGCUAUAAUAUUUAUUCAAAACUAAGCAGCCCAUGUUAGAAGGACCUAUGACAGAUGCUACUACUAACAAUAAUUUGGUCAGUAUUUUUCCAUCCGUUAUGUCGCCCUUAAAAUUACCAUUGCUACUAUCCUCGCAUGUAUACUUUGAAUUCAGGUUAGAUCUGAAGACGGCGAAAACUCACACUCAAAUGGAACUGGUGAAAUUUCAUUGUACUCCCCGCCUGCCACAACAAAUAUGCCUCCGACACUGAACAUGAUUGAUCGCCCUUCCCAGAUUGCCGCAAAAGAAAAAACAUCUAGGUCGCCCUCUCACCUCCUCUUCCAGUUCCUCCUCGCACCGUCCGCCGCCAUGGAGUCCUUCUCUCGCAGCUAGCCGAUCUUCCGUGCACCUCCUCUCGCACGCCGCCUUGUCCAACUCUCGUCACUCCUCUGAUCUAGAUCCCCUCCACCGCCAUGGACCCUCGAAGCUACGCUCCGGGCCAUCGAGGAUCUACCAUCGUUCUCGUGUUGAACUAUGACGGAUGCAUCAUUGAGUCGAGCGUCAGAAUACUUUGAAGAAGUAGAUGGGCCUCAUGGGAGGGGUGGAAGACACACACUGCACCAGUGAUUCAGAGCAUCCGGUGGCAGUACCUUUUGCAGGGAGUACUAGGGCGGGAAAGGUUGCAGCAAUGGCACGCUGAAACGAGAAAGGGGGUUCCAGUGGAGCAAAGGGAAGGAGGAGAAUGGCAUUCAACAGAAAUUGGACUAUUCAUGUUAAGUGAUACUGUGAAGUUGCUAAUUACCUUACAACUUGUCCUUGUUAUGAAUAGAUAAGGUGGUGAAGAUCUGCGGCAUCUUGUGUCCUUUUGGUUGCGAUUUCUUUUAAGCAGAGCAAGAUUUUAUGUUACAGGUUCAAAGCAGCUCUUGCAGCGAAUAUAUGGGCCUUCUUUGCGAGAUUCAGGUCCUAUGCUCCAGACUUCAACAAGCCGGUUCGGUGUAACUGUGUGUGAAAUAUAAAGUCACCAUCAACGGUAAUAUUGAAACUGAAGGCGGGGAGGAGGUGUUGGUAUACAUUAUUUUGUCUUUGAUAAUUAUAUUUUAUGUACCCUAGGCUAGGAUUCAAAUGUAAAUUGAUCUGAGCAAGGGCAUACAGUUUAAAACAAGAUUAAAUUAUACAGUGGAUAUAUAAAAUUUAAACAAAUGUAACGUCAUGCUCUUCUUUCUAGCAAGAGUUUGAACAUCA
Non-coding RNA from Lolium perenne, 1684 nucleotides. The record is from RefSeq and is a predicted model, not a curated record. Lineage: Eukaryota; Viridiplantae; Streptophyta; Magnoliopsida; Poales; Poaceae.